ACGCUCCGCGCGCGCCGGCGCGCGUCCGCGGUUGGCGCGCCCCGCGCUGGUGCUGCUAAGCUCGGGGUGCGGGAAAACAGCGACAAAAUGCUCUUUUUUUUCCCCCCUCUCGCUUUUUUUUUUUUUUUUUCCUUCCCCCUUCCUUUUAACCCCGUGCAAAUCGAACAGCGCUACUUACCCGCUGCAAAGCCGGAGCAAAGAUCAAAAAAAAGUGGGUUUUACACUUUCGAAACCUGUUGCGACUUUAAGCGGCGGUGCAAAAUUGUCCCCCGUCCCCCCCCCCCCCCACCCCCGACCGGCAGCGGCUCAGGGCGGGAUUUGGGCGGCAGCCCGGCCCGGCUCGGCAGCGCACGGAGUUUUUAAUGUGUUAAUGGCUCGGGGUGGCUUCAAAGAGCGUUGCUGUUUUGAAGUCCAGGUGUUUCUAUUUGCGCAGAAAAUCGAGCGGGGAGCUCUGAGCUCCUCCUGUUACCGAAGUUAAAAGGAAACAAAGUCGAGCUGCUAAGUCGGCAGUCUGGAAUGAGUCAAUAGUGUCUCCUUUGUCCUGCUAGCUUGUAGCUCCGCUCCGUUUCCUCCGCGCCAGCGAGAGAGCGUUUCGCCCCUCGGCUCAAUUCUCGAUUACGGAUGAAAUCCAUAUGCUGAUGGCUACCCUGUAAUGAAGGCUCAUGUGAGUAGUCUGUUGAUCUAUACCUACACUUGCUUAUGAGGUGACUUUGCCUAGUCCAGUUGAAUGAUGAUAAACUAGCAGUUAAGGUUUAUGUAUUUCUAUUUUUAUAAUAUAUUUUAAUAUAUUUAUAGUUUUCCGUUCGGUCUCCCUUUCCAUUUAAGUUCUGACAAACUGAUGUAGAGAUAAUAGAUAAACCUCUUCUUGAUUUAGACAAUCACUUAUAUUUCAUAUUGCUCUUUGAGUACGGUACAUAAAGUACUGGCUAUAAGUGUUCCAUCUAGAAUGAAGAGCCUCAAACGUGGUGUGGACAAGAACUUGACCAAAAAAACGACUUGAUAAAUGAGGCCAGUUUUCACUUCCAUCGUUAUUACAACAAGGUUUUGCACAGAAUUUUUGCCACUGUUCAGUGUUACAGCCUUUCUGCAUGCCUGUCCCCUGCCCCGAAUGCCAGUGAGUGGAAUUGACAACAGCAAAUACACAUACAGCUGGCUUUUUUUAUUAUUUGUGUUUCCAGCAGUGUUUUUAGACUGCUAGAUUAGGAAGACAGAACAUUGGGGUAGACAUUAUUUUCUAGCAGGAUAAUACACUUUGUGGUUUAGGUUGCCUCAGAAAGAUAAUUUCAAGCCUUCUUUAGAAGCAGCCACGCUAAGGCAAAAAUGCACAUGGAGUAAAGUACGGCUCAGCACAGCAGUUAGUCAGAAAGCUGAAGUCUCAGUCUGCCUUCCAUGCAAGCACAAAGCAUAACAAGUCUGAGCACUAAACAUUAUUCCUCCCUUUCCACCCUGUUACUUCUCCUGCGCUCAUUACACCGUCUUGCAUCUUUCCCCUCCUUCUGUAAAGGAAGGGAAAUUUCCUCCUCUCCGUCUGAUUUCUUUCCUUUCACAUUUGCUUUUCCCUAUUCACCUGCACAUUCCCUGUAAUAGCAAAACUUGAAGGACUACGGAUCCAAUCCUGGGGGGAAACACUAAGCUUGUGCAUGCAGUCUUUUAGCACGGACAAAGAGUGAUUACUUAAAGUGUUUACAUUUCCCCCUUUUUCUGAAUAAAGUUACAAAAUCACCAGAAUAAAGUUUAGUACUGAAAAUCUGUGUAGGGAACUGUAAUCUGAUAAGGUAGAAUGAGAUCACCGUUCUGUGCAGAGCUCUGCUUGUACAGAAAAACAAAAUGAUUUUUACUGAUCUGGAACCACACGAUUAUUUCUGAAUCAUUAUUUUUAUGCUUAGCUGUUAUGUGAAGUGAAUCCACCUCUCUCCUUUGGUAGUCAUUUUAAAUGAUGCACUGAAUACUUCAGCAAAUGCAAUGACUCGUAUCUUUAAAUACUUUACGAGCAUACAGCAGGAUACUUAGAAAGACAUCUUAAAAAGCUAAGAAGUUAAGACCAGUAUAUCGUACACAAAUUAAGUUCUUUUUCCCCUGUAACAGCUCCCAAGCAACAUUUAUUACCUGUGUCCAUGACAUACAUUUUUAGAUGCCAGCUCUUCUAAGCAGGCAAUCUAUUUCACGAGCUUUCUAAAGCAGUGUCGUAGCCAUUACAUCAAAUGUUGUUUCACAGAUGGUUAUCAACACUUGGUGUUUCACAGAUGGGAUAGAAGAAAAAGACCCAACACCUGAAUUAAAAAACCCCACCAACACAGUAACGUCCAUUUAAAGAUACCCCCUUAGAAAGUGGCUCUCAAUCUGCAGACUCUUGAGGUUUUAUGAACAAUUUUUAAGUGGGCUGCAAAAUAGUAAUUGAAAAAACGAGGCACACUAUCAGAAGGCUGACAGUAUCAGCAGUAGCUGCACUCACCCACUGGAUUUCUUUCUUUUUAAGAAGGUCCUGGAUCACAAAGAAUUGUGAAUUAGAAGAGAUUAGGCUCUAGAAAUCCCGAACUGUUGUGCUUCUUGGUAAGACAAACAUUAUCAAAAAACUGUAUUUCACCACAUAGAAAAAAAAACCUGUCACAUUCUAACGAAUAGGGGGGAAAAAGAAUGAAAGAACUCCUCUUUGACGAGCAGAUUUCUAAUGAUGGGAUACAUCCCACUUGGAGAAGAUGCAAACGAAGAGGCGAAGCAGAGGCAUUAUUUUGCUCCCAGCGCCCACUUCUCACCUGGCUGUACCUACAUUGCAGAAUCCCAUAGAAAGAACAGUAAGAAGAGAGGCUUCCAAUGGGAGGGGUUUGAGGGGCCUUCUGUACUUGUGUGUGUAUCCUUGUUUCUGGAGUAAGCAGGAAAGUAAGGUUUCCAGUUCACAAUCAGACAAGAAGCUGGGAUUCCAGAAGACACAGGAGAGAACAGACAGGGAAAGUGUGCAGUGAGGAUGUGGCAGAGCUAUAGCCACGUUUGGGGUACUGACUUCCAGCUGACCCCAAUGCAUUUAUCCAGCUGUGACCUCUCCAGCUCCUACAGGAAUCCUGUUCUGACCUCUGCCCCUAAAUCUUUACUCCCAUACACUGAUCUUCAGUUCUACCCAUAUACUCCAUCACUGCUUCUAUACCCACAUGCCUUGCUUAUAAGCAUAUUAAUCCCUCUCUCCUAUCACCCCCAGAUGACACUGGUAAAUAGGUUUUUUUCCACACUACAGUGCUAGAAAAGCACUCUCCUCCCUUGUAUAUUUCUUUCUGAUACAAGGCAAAGAUUUCCUCCUGACCUCAUACCCAGCUUAGCCCUGUGCAUGUGAACAAGACAAACCAACCAUACGCACUGUACAUAUUAGAACACUGAAAAGUGACUGCAGAAUCCUAUCAGUUAGCAAGGGGCAUUUAGUAAUAAUAAUAUAAUAACAAUAAUAUAAAAGCAUUCACAAAACUCAUUUCCUAUAUGUAUCAAAAAAACAGGAAUAAGAGAGGUGCGACAAAAAAAGGGUUACACAGAGCAUGCUGGCCUACUUUAAUUCCCUUAGAACACCGUUACUGUAACUGCUGUUGCCAGUAGUAUUUUGCUUACCUUUCAUAUAAUACGUAUGCUACAAUCUAACUUUAGGUAAGACAAUAGACUUCUUCAGGAUAAACACAUUUAUACCAUUUGAAUGAGGUUUAUAGUUUGGCAUUUCUCCACUUCAGCACCACCGUGACUGCUAAAAAGCUGUGCAGUAUGUUGGAAAAGAUAUAAUGUCUGCAAAUUAUUUAUGGAUGUGCUUGUGUGGUAUUUAUGACAACAGAAAGUAACCUACGCUGGGGCAACUGAAAGCAUAGCUAAUACAAAUACAUUACGAUUCUGGAAAAUUGUCAGUAUGGAUGAUAUUAAUAAUAAUAAUAGGAGGCUUGAUAGGAGGAAAAGGAAGGUUUUUACAAUGUAAAAUUACCAUCCGGGGAGCUUAUGUAAACUAAAGAGCGUGGUCAAAUAGGAGUGGAUUUUUUUAGAGUAAUAAACUCAUCCUGUGCUAAGACAGGCUAAUACUCGUAAGAAAAGUCUGCAUCUGCUAAUGUUGCUAGAAAGUCAGAUAAGCAUUCAAAGAUGUACAUAUGUGUUCAUUUGAUUAAGAUGAGAAGUCUAAUCUUUGUGCUAUGGGGACCCAAUCCUCACUUCUCAGGCCACUAAAUCCACUAUUCAUGAGCGCAGAUGGAAAGGAAGAGGAGCAAAGACUAUUAGCGGUGCUCAGGACAAGGCAACAAUUAAAAAAGCAGCCGUUCUGUUACUAGAUCCUGGGAAGGACGUGGUGGGGACAGAAGGGUUGCUGCUACCAGCUUGAUCUUCCUGGCUCCCUCUGGGAAUCUCUUGCUGCUGCUUCAGGCUGGACGUUAGGAAAUACUACUUCUCUGAAAGGGUGGUCAGGCACUGGAAUGGGCUGCCCAGAGAGGUGGUGGAGUCACCGAGCCUGGUGGUGUUCAAAGAGCGUUUGGAUGUUGUGUUGAGGGACAUGGUUUAGCGAGAACCAUUGGUGAAGGGCGGAUGGUUGGACUGGAUGAUCCUCUGGGUCUUUUCCAACCUUGGCAAUUCUAUGAUUCUAUGAUUCUAUGCUUCUCCUGCAGAGGCAUGUGGCCUAUCUAAUGUUGAAAAAGCAGGCAGUGCUCUCUGCCUUUUCAUACACAGCAGAAGAGCAGAGCCCAAAUUUCUGGAGCAAUAGAUUGCUGUCAGCCCUUAACAUUUUUCACAAAACAGCACACUCCCACCUGAUUAAACUUUUAAUUGAAGGUGCUAUUUAAAGCACCAUUAGAUAUGGUUUAGCCCAACGGCUGUUCAACUUACCAUAGUCCUGUAGCCCAUUAGGGCUUAGUGGACCACGGCUUGAAAACCAUUCCUGCCACGUCAGAAAUACGAUGAUGUUCCCUGCUCCCUCCCUCCCUCCUGACCUUCCGGUUGCUGUGUUAAACGUUACUGCUCCUCUAUCUGAUUUCCCCUGAGACUGAUUUUAGGACCUGCUAUUUGCUUCUGGCUUUCUGAAGUAGCAGCAAACUGGCAUUCUCCUUCGCCCAUACAUUUGUAAACAGGAGAAGUAAGGCCAAUAUGACCAUAACAUUACUACUGCCAGACAAAGGAAUAGACAGAAGCAUAGUUUAGAUAUCAAUAAAUAUAUGUAUAUCUUUCAGGUUUAGGAAAAAGGGACCAAUUUACAUUUGAUUCAUAUUUGAAAAUUUAUCAUCAGACAACAAGGCCUACGAGCUUUUAUUUACAGAAAAGCUGUAAUUCUACACAGGUUGGGUUUUGGCCACGGCUGGUCCAGGACAAACAGAUGUGCAGUUUUGUGCCACAGAACUAUGGCAGAUGAAACUGGUAUCUUCUGCUAUCAUAAAGGUCACCUAAGAUACAGAAAACAGUGACCAAGGGCUCCUUGUUAUUCUAUUCUAAGAAAUAAAGAGUUAGAGUCUCCUAUUAAAUGCUUCCACAUAUUCGUGGUUUUAGAGAUCUUUCUCAUGUUAUUACUCCUCAGCCAGCAUUUUUCCAAAAUGAAGAAUCCUGAUUCAGUUACUGUCCCUGCCCAAUAGCUGUGCCAUAUCUUCAUCAUCCGUGUCUGUUUUUUAUAUAAUUCUCAUCAGUGCUCAAAACUGACUGGUAUGCCAGCAUGACUCCUUUGUUUCAAGUACCAUAUUGCAUCAAAUCCAUCCGGAAUGAUUUCAAGAAAUCAGCAAGAGCUGCUAAAAAUCCACACAAGCAUUAGGAAAAGGCUUGAGAACCCAGGCUUUUCACAGCAGCCAGACAGCAGCCAUCAGCUUAACAAUUAAACUUCACCUCUGUGACAGGCAGGAAUGCCAGGAUCAAAGUCUGUAUUUCAAGCUCACCUAAGGCUGUGAAACCCUAAGAAAUAGGGAAGUAGAACUUCCAAGUUGCAGCUCCUGUUAGAACAGCUGCAAGUCCAUGCCUUUCUGAGCAGCAGGCCUGGCUGCAGCCUGCAGAGCUGACAGAUGAUGAGGUAAUGACCCUCUCUGCUGACAGGUCUGGUUUAACAGUGGGUCAGUCAUACCUGGCCUCUGGGACAGCCGUGGCUCCUGCAGCACCACAGCCUGUGCUGUGAGAUCCUUCUGCAACUCUUCAGGGCCAACGUCAGCUCUGACUCCAAAUGCACAGUAGCCUUUUAUUGUCUCUAAGCAUUAUCACUGCACCUUUUCAUACCAUUUAGGAACAGGUGAACCAGAAAAGGUGCCAGUACAAAUUGCUGGGAGGUGGUGUCAUUAAAGCCACCUACUAGUUGCUAUAGUCUUCUUUAUCUUGUAACCGUUUAUUAAUCCACAAGGAAUCUUACGUAUCUCAACACUUCACUGUGUUAACAUUCUUUGGUGAUAGACCUUUUUAAAAGCUUUUUGGGUGACCCAUUCCCAUGUGUCUGUUUACUGCUUCAAACAAUAAGCGAAGCCGUAAGACAAAACUACCCUGUACAGAAAGUCAAGGUGAUGGUUGCCUAUUACAGCCACACGUGUUCCUAUUAAUUAUAUUCUUUAUCACAUUCACUGGCAUUUUGCCUGCCAUGGAAGUCAGACUUAUUAGUACAUUAGUCCACGAUCGUCCCUAGAGACCUUUUUAACAUGGUCACAUUUGCUGCUUUCCAUUCCUCUGUCAUCAACACCAAUUUAAAUGAUAGAUAAUACAACACAGUUCACAGAUAACCAGUUUUAUUUCUGAAUUUCUCUGCAACUACCGAAAGAACAUCGUGCUAUCUGGCAAUCUGCUAAUGCCCAUUUAAUCAAGUUGUUCAAAAAUCUUUUACUGAUAUUUAAAAAUUGAAAUACUUCUUAUAAAGAACAACUUUUAUAUGGGACUGUUCCUAAUGUCCCUGGAAUGAACUCUGCCAAUGUAAGGGUUUGUCCAUAUGUUUCCUUCUGCAGUGGCUUUGCCUUUAAAUAUUCUGUCUCUGGAACUCGGUGUCCUGCUAGCAGAAUUAACUGAAAAGUUUACACUUAUAGAUUUUUCUUUUUGCUUUUAUGAUUUUAGCCUAUUGCUCCUCAAAAUCUUUUUGUCCCUCCUUAGAAUAGGUCUACAUUUAACUUCCCAGAACUGUGCUCUUCUCCUCUUUGCUUGUUUGGAUUUCACUUUUUGAAAAACAUCUAUUUGUUCCUCGUAACUUCCCUUACUGCUCAGUUGUCAUGAAUUCUUAUUCACUUGGGUCAGAAUUAGAAAACAAACACUCUGUGUCUCUCUUAGCCUCUUACAAUUUUUACUUGAACGAUUUCUUCAUUUGUAUGCAGUUCUUUUUUACAGUUAAACAAUACUGGAUUGUUUAUUUAUUUUUAUCUUUUUCUCUCAUGCAAAUACGACAAACUUCAGUUUGAUAUGAUGUACCACUACCAAAUGUCUUUCCUAUAGUUACUUUGUCAACCAAAUCCUGGUUACUAAUCUAAACGAACUCAAGAGCUGUCCUCGUUCUACUGGAUUCUCUGGAUAGUUUGCUCAAAAGUUAGUUCUUGAUGGUAGUUAAAAACACAGCUUAUGCAUGAUGCCCUAAUGUUAAGCUUAUCCAGACCAUAGUUUGAAAACUGAAAACUCUUGUUACUAUCGAGCUUCUCAAUUGUAUAGCCUCUCUGGCCUCCUGCUGUAUUUCACGGUCACUGUGUCCACUCUAUCAGCUCAUUCAGAGCUCUUGCCAGGCUUCUCCUGCUCAGAUAUGGAACCACUUGUAAUUAUAUUUUGUGGUUUAGUCUGAUAAAUUUAACUUAUUUGACUAGUUAGCAUAUAGAGACCAACAGACCAAUCUAUCAUUUCUCUAUCAGCAAGGCACUAACAUUUCAUCAUCUCUGUUAUCAUCUAAAUGCUGAUAUUUUGGUGUCACUUUGAAAGAAGGAAAAGGGACACAUGCAGACCCACUUCCAGAAAGAGAACGACAUACCUGAGGAAUUCCUGUUGCAAUUCACGCUUACCACUCUUCUGAAGAAUCAUUAUCUUCAAGGUACCAGGGAAACAGAGCAGUAUCAGGUAGCAACGUACCUUGAUACCGAAUCAAAACUAGUGCAGGUUCCUUCUCAACAGAGAACCAAGUGGUAUUUGACAAGGACUGACCAACAGAAUGGCCUGUGGUUAUUCAAGAUUUCUGUACCAAGAGAUGCUGUGUCAGGAAGGGAAGGCACUAAGUAGCAGAAUGACACUAUGGAAGUAUAUGAAGUCCUUUAAUCUCUUGUAUACACUGAGGAUUCGUAAUACUCACAUUAACUUCCUCUGAGGAGGGAGAGUCUGCUGUUACUGCUGUGGAGAAGAUAAAGAGGGGUGCUUUCUGGACACAAUGCCAGUAGCUAUUGACUUGGGUUCGACAGCUGAGAAGACUUCUGGGGUGCUAGCAUUUUCUGUGUUGGCUGAAACUCACUUCUUUCCCUUUUGUGAGGCCCCUAUUUUUGUGAGCACCUUAUUUCUGCAUUAAGUAUGAUGCGAGUCAGGGCUCAGCAGAAUCCAGAGGCUACACUGCAGUAUCCAACAAGUGUUCAUUAUUAUUUAUUUGCAUUACCACAAAUCCUAGAAGGCUACACCCUGGACCACUUCUCGUUAUGCUGGGCCAUGAAUAAGCAUACAACAAAAAGUCCACAUGAAUUCUACGUGAAGAGACAACAGAGAUUACUGCAGAGUACAAAGGCAAUGACAAAGUAUUACUGUGACAAGCAUCGGUAUUAGUAUACUUGUACAACAUACUUAUUUUCUAGUUGGAUUGUCAUAAGCUUCACAGUACAUAAAACUUUUAAGAAGAUAUUAAAGGGAGACAGCAAACAGUUCUGUUUAUGAAGGAGUCAGCUACUACACGAGAGGCAGCUGAGGAGAAAGUAUCCAGUGUGAAAAUAUAACAACUGAAUGAUGGAAGCUGGCAUCAUAUGUUGAUCAAAAUCAGAGUCAACCUCUUGAUACUGAAGGAAAGGUAUCAGGUAGAAGUAGUCUUGAUGGGCCUUGAAAACAAAGACAGAUAGCUUAUCUUUAUUGCUUUCAAUUGAAGGAGGAAGUUUAAAAAGCCAAAGGAGUAAAUCUGGAAACUGAUAUUUACAGCAGCACUUGGAACGCAUAAUGACAAGACUACAUUUGUCAAGGCAAAAGAAGAAGAUUUUCUAAUAACGAUAUGAUCCAUGGAAAACCUGGAUGAAAAAUACAAGCAACCAACAGAGAAGAAAGAGCAUCCCUGAAGGAUUGGAAAAAGAUUUCCAAAAACUAAGAUUUAGCCUAGGUUUGAUGACUUAAAGCAAACAACAGCAUGAUGGUGUCAUUCACCGAGGAUGCAGAGAGGUUUUGUGAGGACCCCAACCAAAAAUAUGAAAAAAUUGCUAACAAAAGUUGUAACUGGAAAUAAAGAACUGAGGACAACGCUGAAGAAAAUUUUCAUGCAUUAGAUCUGCUUAGGAGUAGAAAAGAAGAUGGGAGGAGGUAUAUGAAGUGACACAUAAAACACUGUUCUUCCUGUACUAUGAAAUAAGAAAAUUCUUUCACGCCACAUUUAUUACUGGGUUAUUACAGCUACCUGAGCUACCAUGUUUUGACUUUCAAGGACUGAAGAAGAAGAAUGUUCAUGACACUGUAAUUUGAUGGGUGCCUCAUUCAGCAAACAAAAACAUGCUACAUCCAGCUCAAAGACAGGACAUUGGUGAUACAAGCCAAGCGCAAACAGCAGUGGAGAAAAAGAUCUUACAGCUUAAAGUUAAAACAACUAACAUGCUGAACAUUCAGGCACAUUCCUUUCCUCUUCCUCCUUAUUGUACAGAACCAAGGCUAUCAUUUCAGCUUGCCACUGAAGGAAAAUUACUCUCCUUUGCUCUAGUUUGGUAUUUCCAGCCCUUGAAGUAUUCCCAAACCUACAUAAAGUGUGCCCAUGUAGCAAAUGCCCACACCCUAAAUUCCACAAACAUCAACAAGAUCUCUUCGUGUCUGCUUUCUUGCUGUUUCCUAGUUUUAGUCAUUUACAACAGCACAGAAUGGGUUGAACUAAAGGAACAAGCAGAUCAGGUGCUCAACCACACGGGUUAGCAGCCGUGAGUACUGGAGACAUACAGCAGGAGACAAUUCAGAGUUCCUUUUCUUCCAAACAGUGUUUUGUAGCAGCAUUACCUCAGGCAGAAUAGAGCUGUGCCCCUACAUUCUUUCUCUCAAAGCACAGGGAAGUUGCUCUCUCAGGAAGGAGAUGCAGUCAGAUGUGUAUGAGCUGCCCUCCGUAGAGAUGACUGAAAAACUUGGAGACAUAUGAAACAUCCAGGGGCCUCCUCAUACCCCACUGACUAAUAUAUCACCUUGCUUCUUUAUCUCUUCUGAAACCAGAUCUUUUCUGAGGCACUUUUUUUUUUCAAUCUGGUGUGGAGAGGGAACAUAGGAGGCUGGGUUUGGUUGCUGUGCAAUCACCUGAUCUCUCUCUCCUUUUCUUUCCUUUGCACAACUUAGGGGAAGUAAGAAUAAAUAUGGCAUAUAGAACUAAAAGAUGAAAAUAGUCAACUAUUAGAACUGUGCUUUUUAAACAAACAAACAAAAAAAAUAUCAUUCAAGAUUUUAGAUGCAAAGUGAAAUAUUCAGUGUUCUCAUUAUUCAGGAGAAACAUUCAAUGUUCUCAAACUAUGGUUUCAUCUCAUAUUAAAAAAUAACUCCAUUUCAUUUUUGUGUUCAGAAAUUAUAAAAGAAGCACCGUAACAUCCCGUAACCAAAAUAAUCCCGUUGGGUUUUGAGCUCUCUUUGAGAUGUUCAAAUUUAAAAUAGUUAAGUUAUGAGUUUGAACAAGAAGCUCUUUCUUCUGCUUAGCACUAGCCACAUUUUAGCAUAUGUAGACCAUCGACCUCUGUUCUUAGUUGCAGUUGUCAUCUCAAAUACUCUGUUUAUACAGGUAAUUCACAGUCACUAACUCUCCAAAGCCCACACGACCCCUCCAAAAAAACUGCAGAGAACUGUAGAGAAAGACAUUUCCUGGAAGUUUUAAAUUAAAUAGAUAGGUAAAUCAACCAGAUAUUUGAUGAAAUGAAAGGUACCAGUAGCUACACAUUCAGUUCUCCUUCUGGGCAUAUUUUUGCCAUAUAUUCUUCUGUUUAGUUCCUUGUUUCUUUUUGAGUUUUAUUUUGUUUGUUUGUUCAUUUGUUUGUUAAUUGGACUCUCAAGUCUGCUUUUGAUCUGGUUAUGAUCUCUUCUUUGGUCUUGCUCUUUCUUCAAAUUCAUUUAAUGUUACUUUUGUGCCAAGCAAAAAAAUAAUUCUACAAUCUCUUUUUCUUUACUCCCCAAUCACUGUCUGCAUCUUUGCUCUACAUGAAGGAAUAUCUAAUUGGCCAUGCCUACAAAUCCUCUACAGCUUCACACUUCCUUAAUAAUUACUCACAGAUUCAAUACCAAUUCUAGUUCUUCCAUCUUCCAGAUACAAGAUUGCCUUCAGAACAUUUUUGUACUUGAACACCAGAAAGGAAAUACACCAUCAUAAAAAAAAGGGCAUGGAGUUUAUAAAGCCAUUAGCGUUACACAGGUAAAACACCUACACAUAAUUUUUGCUCUCUUGGAUAUAAAAAUAGGAAUCAUAGCAAUGCCUGUACCCAUAGAUACAAGCAAAAAACUUCCUCUUCAAUACAAGUAUAUUUAUAGUUAUUUUGGGUGAAUCCACUGACAAAGGGUAUGGAUAAUUAUUACCGAUUAAGCACAGGGUACUUAGUUAAAAUAAAAUAUACAGUUCUUGCCUAAGAAGCCUAUAAUUAAUCAGCAUGUGUGAUCAAAUUGCCACUCAUAACGUCAGAUCAGUUUAGUUUAAUUUAACCAAGUUACUUUGACAUGAGCAUAAGUAUAUAUUUAUUAACAUUUCAACGUUCAACUCAGCAAGACAAUUAUGUUAGUAAAUCUGCUUGCAGUAGCUACACAAAUAUUGGAGGCAUAAACGGUUUUUAUAGAUCUAUAAAUUUGGAAAAUUUUAUGGGUGAAGAUAGAGAGCAGCUCAGAAACACACUCUUCUGAAAGCAAAGGAAAUAAACAAAUGAAAACUCCCUACCUAACAGCAGUGCUGAAGGACUCCGGGUUCACGUGGUGAAUUAUCCAAGAAUAAUGAUAUCCUUAAUGGAUAUAUUGUAUGGAUUUUCUAAAAAGAACCGGAGUCACACAUAAAUCACACCUCUUGAUUAACCCUUUUAUCAUUAUUAGUCUGUCAACAUCAGCAAAGACUAACUAUUGAAAAAUUCAAUCAUUUCAGUGUACUUACAGCUGAAUUUUCUCAUCAUGUGACCAACUAUCCACAAAGCCUCAGUGCCAUUAAGAAGUUUUGAGGAAUAUAUUAUUUGGUACUGCCAAAAAAACAUAAUUAAAAGAACGCAUGUAAAUUAUAUUUAUUUUCUAAUUCAAAACUUUUUUUUUAAUGAUUAUUUCACGUCUAAAGUACAUUUGGGGGAAAGGCAGAACUUACAUUAUCCCAAAAGGCAGGUUCCAGCACAACCCAUGAUACACUGACAGAAUUCACAGUAAGAAGGCACAGUAGGGUCACACAAACAGAACCCCGCACUACUGCAGAAUCUCCUUAAUUUCAAUAGGGCCCUACCCACAUAUAAUCAGUUACAGAGUCCGCCUAUGUGGGAGUAACAACAGUGAGCACGGGACCCGUUCCUCCACACACCUGCAAAAAUAUUGGGAUAAAAAAAAAGAAAUUAAAAUUAGUAACAUGCAGCAAAACCCUCUGAUAGCCCAUUUUAUUACAGCGUUUAGCACAUAAUAAAGGAGUUCCAUACAUCUUUAAGUUGCACGUUAUUUAUAGGAAUUCUUAGUUCCUUUUUUUACAGAAUGUUGACUUCAAAUUGCUUACAGGCCUUACAUGUAACAGCAGCACGUUAUGGGAACUUUUACCAAUAUGCAUUUGAAGUAGAAAUUUAGAUGUAUUUUUAAUUAUUACUUUAUAAAAAGCCAUUAUCAUAGUUGCUUCUUAGUGUUUAAGUCUGCUUCAAAUCAGCAUAAAGUUUGGAGAGACAGCAUAGGUCAGUGAAUUUCUGAGGUCUUUAUGAUCACGAUCCCCGAGCACAGGAGGGACAUGGAGCUCUUGGAGCAGGUCCAGAGGAGGGCCACUAAGAUGAUCAGAGGGCUGGAGCACCUCUCCUAUGAGAAAAGGUUGAGGGAACUGGGAUUGUUUAGCUUGGAGAAGGCUCCGGGGAGACCUCACUGUGGCCUUCCAAUACCUGAUGGGAGCAUAUAAACAGGAGGAGGAAUGGCUGUUUACAAGGGUGGAUAGUUCUAGGACAAGGGGGAAUGGUUUUAAACUGAGACAGGGGAGGUUUAGGUUAGAUAUUAGGAGAAAGUUUUUCGCACAGAGGGUGGUGACGCACUGGAACAGGCUGCCCAAGGAGGUUGUGGAUGCCCCAUCCCUGGAGGCAUUCAAGGCCAGGCUGGAUGUGGCUCGGGGCAGCCUGGUCUGGUGGUUGGUGACCCUGCACAUAGCAGGGGGGUUGAAACUAGAUGACCAUUGUGGUCCUUUUCAACCCAGGCCAUUCUGUGAUUCUAUGAAAGCAUCUGGCCACAUACAGCAGCAUCGAAGACUAAAGUAUUUGAAAACACAUGAUAAACAGUAGUCAAUUUUAGACUAAAAGUGAUCUUUUUUAAACAAAAAAUCCUUACAAAAAUCAACUGCAAUCAUUUCCUAAAUUUAAGCUCCUCCAGAAAACUAUUUAGAAUGCAGGAAGUACAAAUGUAAUGUUAAACAAAUAUAUACCACCUCUUUGCCAUUCACACAAAACUUAACAUUUAUGAUUUGACCUCACUGUUCUUAUUAAAAAUACAUCUAUGUUGAUCUUUAAAAGGCAUUUUAUUUUCAGUUACAACGCUUUUCUAUAUCAUAAAACAUUUACAAACACAUUAACCAUGGGUUCCAUGAAAUAAUAUUUAACUGGUGACACUGUGCAAGAGCACUGAUGAUAAAGGAUAUAAGAACUAGAUCCUAGAAACAUGCAGAAGACAUUUCUUUAUUCCUUUAAUUUAGAUACCAUUAAAGAAACAACAAUAUUUAAAACAAACAAGCAAAAGCUACGAACAAAUUAAAGGAUCUGACAAUCUAACAGAAGAAUCAGGAGUUCCAUAAGGAUGGAAUGCAGUCUUUUUUAAUUCUCUACUUUUGGUUUUAUUUUUGAGCAACAAGUUGUUCUCUUACUGGCUGUGAUUUUGUCAAACAACAGACUUGUAAACAAACAGAAAAUGGAGAAGAGCACCACAGUUUUUUGUUCCUUGCCAGGCUUAAAGCUUUCAACUGGGCAGGAGGACAAGCAAAAAUUUGAAAUCCACAUUUCAGACAUUACAACAAAUUUCAAGGCAGUUGUCUUAGAAGUUACUGAAUUUGAAGUGUUUCUUCGCCUUUUAUUCCCUUUAAAACUUUUGGUUUAUAUACAUGACUUAUAAUGACAAAUUCAACUCCUCUUUCUCAAGAUCGGUGCUCCAGCUGUAAGUUCUGUUCAAAAAGUGUCUUAAGAUAUAGAAUUAUUGAAUCAUAGAAUGGUUUGUGUUGGAAGGGACCUUUAAGGUCACCUAGUUCCAACCCCUUGCUCUAGGCAGGGACACCUCCCUCUAGACCAGGUUGCUCAAAGCCCCAUCCAGUCUGGCCUUGAAUGCUUCUCCCAUCUACUGUUACACAGAAAAUUUAAAAAUAUCAGACCUACCAGUCACAUUAGCCUGCAAGUGUGAACCAGCACCUGAGCCUACCUGAGUGAACCAGUACCUCUGGCAAGUAUAAUGUACCCAUUUCUUACUGACUGAGAAUGAGCAGACUAUACUUUUUGGGACAGUCAGUUCUCUAGGAGCCCAAGACCAUAAAGCUAGGGAAAUAUGGCAUUAUCAAAGAUGCAAUGCAACGUGGUAACUUAUGCAGCCAGAUCCUAAUACUGCUUUCUGCCCCUCUGCCUAGCUCCACAUCUUUCUCCAAUAAGGAAGUUAACUGGAAUACAAUGCACUGCUCCGAGAGUGCAGACUGGAGGAGAGGUCAGGGACACAUAGCUGCAGUCCAAAUGACAGUCAGUUUCUGAGAAGAGCGGAAAACACACUGUUACAAAUGUGACAGCCUAUGGAAUAUCUCAGAGCUGACAUUCAAGCCAUCAAAGAAAUGAAAUAGCGAAACUGCCUCAACAAUUCCCUUCUCUGACAAGGAUAGGAAAAACAUGCAUCUAACGUAGGUAUAGACCACCAUAAAGUUGAAGGGUACAUGAUUGGUUUGGGAGACUGGAAGGCUCUUGCAAAAACAAGGGUUUUUUUCAUGACCAGCAAAGUUACAAAGUCUAGUUAUUUACUAAUGUGCUUGCACAUGCCCCAAAAUACUUGUGCAGCAAUCCCAGGCUGACGUUACCCUGGCUGGAUUCCCACUCCCUUCUAAAUAAUUUCCCUAAAUUCCUUCACAAAACACCACCUUCUCACUACUGGGAGCAACUCACAUUGUGACCAUCAGACCAACCAAGGAUGCUAAUCUGCAAGGCAGCAGGUUGAAUGGAAUAGAAAACUUCCAAGUCCAUGCUGAAGCUUUUUCUGUCCUGGAGGCACAAAUUCGAGUCAUUUUUCUAAUCUCAUCUGCCAGGUUUCAUUGAAACUGUAGAAACUUGACCUUGCGACCUCUAUCUCUGUAUCAAAUGCAGCUCAAAUGAAGCAGUGGAUUCAGAAGUUACUAGGAGAAAACUCAUUCCUAUAUAUCUUGUUUUAUUCAGAAAGUGGGCAUGAAAACACAGUUGUAUAAUCACUGUGAAAGUAACUGAAUUUCAUGUCAUUUACUGUUUUCAUUCAGGAGUCACACCACAAACUCAGCUAUAACACAACACAGGUUUUUACAGGGUGAGAGCGUAAAAGAAUCCAGAGAAUAGAGACCAUUUCCAUGAAACUGCCUUUGUUCUGUCCCUGUGCAAAGGACCUUAAAUAGAUGUCAAUUCAUAAAGGUGAAAAUUUAACAGAGAUAAAAUUUUAUACACGUGUUUUGAACUUACCAAGAAUGCAGCGAACUGCCCUUCAGGUAGAUCCAUGCUUCUCUUCCAAUUCUGUGUUGUAUCUCCCAAAGCUUAAGAAAAGUUCAGUGAUACACAGCUUAGUAACAGAAGACUGACGUUAAGUUUAAAGAGUCAAUCUGUUCAGUGGGUUUUUCUGCUUUGUUUUUUAGAGAAUAAGCAUAAUGGCUAUUAAAGAAUCACCUUAAGAUCCUGCUACUGCUACCUGGCUUCAGAUCAUUAUUAUUAGAGAAUAAUUUUUUAAUAACGAGCAAGUCCCAGUUCCCUUUUUGAAAAAUGCCACCCACUGUGCUCUUCAUACCCUUCCUAUUGCUCUAGAGACAAAGAAUAGUCAGCGUGGCAAAGUUAAUAGAGAACUGGACAUUACAGGACAGGUUGGAAGGAAACAAUGUGAACGGGACCAGGAGUGAAAACGACUUAGCAAAAAAGGGAUGGAAUAAAAGAAACAACGUUACUUUCUUAGCAGGGCAAUAAAAACGGGAUUUUCAAAACCAUCCAACUUCUAUUGAAGUGAAAGAAUUACAUCAAUUCCAAAUAUGCUUUUAGAAAACCUUUAAGCCACUUAUCUUUAAGCAUUUAACUUUAAGCAUAUGGAGUAUCUAAACUCCGCUCAGCUAAACAACUGAAGUGCUUAAAUUUAAAAAACAAAUGUAAAUCAUCUUGAAAGCAUUCACCCCGUUUGUAAUACCAAGCUUGCAUACAGAUCUGAGCCCCAACUCCUUACCCUGCUUACAUGCUGACUCACACUUGGGCUGGAUCCAGCCUAUUGGUUCUCAGACAGGCAAACCCAAGUACAAAACGUGAGGGGCUAACGUGCAUUCAGACUUCUCUCUCACAAGCUGGACUCGUGCAAGUAUCGUGACUUAGGUACGAGAUUAAUUGUUUGGUGAAGCAGAGUGCAAAUGAUUAAAUGCUUCGAGUUAAUUCGGGGGAGAGGGUCUCAGAAAGAAAACUAAAGAAAGUGCCCGAGGAAGAAAAAAGAAACUGAAAAUUAAAUCUGGAUUAAAAAUAAAUGACCUCUGGGUUAUAUCUCAGUGCACUCUGCCUGAAAACCACUGCUUCUUUUUGGCUUAAGUAUCAAAUCUCAUUUUUAAAUAUGCAAAAUGGUAACUAACUCAGACAAAGGUUAAAUUAGUUCAGUGUUUGCUGACAGUACCGCAGUAAUCCUUAACACAGAGCAUCACUCGGUUAUUGGUGUAAAGGGCUCGCCAUUUCUUCUGCCUUACAAACACACCCGCGCUUCCAGUCCUGCUUUGGUAAAGAGCAGGGUGAGGGUUAAUACCCAAUAUUCCAAUCUCUGUGGUAGCAGCCAUAAAGGGAGGAGGAAAUGUGGAGAUCGUAAGCUGCUAGUGGGGUUCUGUCCCUUUUACUCCUUACUCUACAGUGCAGUUGCUAAAGGAAAACAUAAAUUGAGCCACUGAAAUCAAAACAGUGAACCAACAAAGUUCAGGGACAUCUCUUGGCAUCCUGUGAACUUCUGGUCAUUGUGAUCUGCCUCCUAAACUGUGGAUCAUUGUAUACACCGUUAUUUUAAGCUGUCACCUCUCAAAACUACCAGGAAGCCAGUACCAGUGCUUAACAGCUACAUUCUCAUGUCCUCUCCCACUACUAAUAUCCCACCCUUCACCUACAGCUAUAAAAAAGGAAAUUCUCUCUAUUUAAAAUGCGUGCUUAAUAAUCCCAUACGUGUAAAAAUCAUGACUCCGUGUUGGUACGGAGCUAGAGCAAGGUUAAAGACCUGACUAAGGCAGUGAGUUACUGAUAGAAUUAGUUCCUCUCCAGAUUCAGUUCCCUUUUCACAAAAUGGUUAAACACAAUAACGUUUUGUUCCUUUUAUGAGAAUCAUGAGCAUUACUAACAUUUUAUAAACGUUUUGAAGCUCAGAUUUCAAAAUUUCCCAGAAACUGGGAAACUAGAGAAGCAAAUGAACAAUUUACAUCAUGCUGUCUUAAAAGAAAUGAAUUGAACAGCAUAAAAGCAAACAAAUUAGUGCUAGCUAAAGCAUUUCCAGACCUCUCACUCCUGUAUUAAUUUCAGUAGCAUUUCAUUUAAAUGCAGAAAUACAUAUUUGCAAAGUCUGAGUUUCAGCCUUUCCAACAAUUCCUCACAUCCGAGCUGUGCUGUGCUGACUGGUGGUGCUGAUAGAAAUCCUCCUGUGAACACAGCUGAGCACAUGCACAGGACUAAGGCUAAAUCAAGUAAUAAAAAAAUAGCUCAUAAAUUCAGUGUAUCGCUAACAAUUGUUUGGAAAAGUCCAGGAUGGAUAAGGAGAUGAUAAAGCUUGAGAAAGCAACGAGCAAAAUAGCGGGCGGGAAGGUGAGAAAUUAGGCUCUGGCCCCAGCAGUUACCCUACCAAAAACAAUCUAACUUUAAUACCAGUUAAAUAACAGAAUUGAUACAAAGGAAAGAAAAAAUAAUAGAGCAUCCCCUCAAUAAUUUAUAGCCCCAACAACCACACUUAUUUUCUCACCAUUUGACGAGUCCUCUUCAGUGUAAGGCCAAAGUUCGUGGGUGCUGUGGAGAAGAUCACUUGGCAACUGCUCUGCUGUAAUUAAUCCAUAAAGAAUGGGCUUCAGUUUUCACAGAUAACGAACCAGCACAUUUCACAACCACUAACAUGCAGAAGAAUUUUUACAAUGUUUAGAAGUUACAGCGAGGCCGUUUUAGCAAAACUUCACCACAGAACCUUAGUUUAAUAGCAAGUAUUUCCCGAGGCCUCAGGGAUAUGUUCAUGAUGGGUCAGGCCUAUGGCUGUAUUAGAGUCAAUACUGAAGGAAAGCGUAGUUAAGCCCAGCCUUUGGAUUGUACCAGCUGCCUUUAUGCUGUGUUAAACAUCUUAGACAUUGGGGGAAAAAAAAAAAAAUAGAUUGAAAGUUGGCUGUUGAAAAACCAGGUAGUCUACACCAAAAAUAGGCUAAAGGUUGUUUAUGGGUGGUUUGGGGUUUUUUUUUCCACUUAGUAUUUUGUAGGGAAUUUAAUAAAGCAGGUGUACAUCCUAAUCUAGCAAAUACUUCCUGCAGUCCUUGGUGCCAAGAGAAGGAUCCCUAGAUCAGCUCUCAGCUGGCAAAUUCAGAACUUAGUUUUCACUGCCACUGCAGUC
This 19041-nucleotide long non-coding RNA is filed under the name Gallus gallus (chicken). RNAcentral's name for it is "lncRNA (ENSGALG00010004476.1)". Lineage: Eukaryota; Metazoa; Chordata; Aves; Galliformes; Phasianidae. The record is from RNAcentral.